This 973-nucleotide long non-coding RNA is filed under the name Homo sapiens (human). Its description in RNAcentral is "HSALNT0392826". The record is from RNAcentral. Lineage: Eukaryota; Metazoa; Chordata; Mammalia; Primates; Hominidae.
CAGCCAUGGAUUCCACCCACACUCAAGGAAGGGGAUCACACAGCAGCAUGAACACCAGGAGAGAGGAUCAUGAGGCCACCUUACAGUCUGUCUUCCACAAGGACUCAUCACCUAGGGAUAUAUGCCCUUGAAACAAAUGGAAAUAGACUCCCACAGGCUGAGGACAAAAGCACAGGAUCAACUAAGAUGCUAUCCAGGUGAAAGUGGAUGAGGUCAGACUUCAUGGGUCCAAGAAUUAAGGGGUAAAAGAAGGAUUGGCCCUUUCAACAUCACUCACAGUGACUCACCAAUCUUGCAAGUCUAAGCUCCAAUGGAUAGAAAAUUCUUGUUCUCAGCAGAACAUUGCUUCAACCUGGGCACAGUAAGAUGUCCAUGGAAACUAAAGCAAGUCUGAAGCCUGGACAAUUUGGUCUCUUCAAGAGGAGAUAACAGCAGGCAAAAGAAGUUUCUAUAUGAACAUGGGAAAUCAAUUCUAUUAUCAUGAACAGCUACUUAUUGUUCCUGCUACUAUGCAACCUGGAGGACCAUAUCUGGAACCCAGGGAAUUCAUGGGGGCAUCUCAUAAGUGCUCCAGGAUGGGUGAAUCUGUGAAAAAGUCGACCCAAUGUGGACAUAAGUAGAGCUGAGAUCUGCAAGAGAUUGGCCAGCAGACAUGGGCGGUGCCCCACAUCAUGCCCUGCCACCCACCCUGAUUUCAGCAGCAGCAGUCUCAUGCUCAGAUGUCUCUGCUUGGGGAAACCAUGUUGUGAGCAAACCAACAGUGGGGGCCGUGUGGAGAGGAAGCCUCCUGCCAACGCCUUGCAAGUGAGCUUGCAAGUGGAUCCUCCAGCCCGAUGUCAAGAAUUCAGAGAGUAUGGCCUCAGCCAACAGCCUGAGAAACCCUGGCCCAGACCAUCCAGCCGGGUCAUCGCAGAUUCCCAACCCUCAGACAGCAUAUAAGAAAAUAAAUAUUUGCUCCUUUAAGCAGCUAAUU